AUGUGCCCUGUUCCUGACGUGCCCGGCGAGACCUGAAUUCCAGUCAGAGCUGGCUGCUCACAGGACAGUCUGGGCUUUGUCGCCUUCGGGAUCCAGCGGGAGAAUCUCAGGCUUUGUCCGGAGAGCCGGAAGCCCUCGGAGGGGCCAUUUUUAGAGCCAACUGGGAAAGAGGGACCUGCCAGGCCUGCAUCAGCUGCCUGCCUGCGUCUCCCACUCAUCCUCACCCCGCCAGUCAGAGGACAGCAAUGCUGCCACCUUUCCCAGUGCUGCCCUUUGGGGGCCUCAGACCAAGUGUGUCCCAUGUGUCCACCCCCCGCCAGUGACAGCUCUUUGGAGCAGAUGCGUGGACAGAAGGACCCAUAUUCCAAGGGCUGCCAAUUCUCAGUCAAGUCAUCCCCGGGUAUCUCGGGCCCUCUGUGCUCCUGCUUCAUCCUGGUGGCAGUGGACCCAAGCUGCGCACAGUCACAUCAGGGC
This 474-nucleotide long non-coding RNA is filed under the name Equus caballus (horse). RNAcentral's name for it is "lncRNA (ENSECAG00000048716.1)". The record is from RNAcentral. Lineage: Eukaryota; Metazoa; Chordata; Mammalia; Perissodactyla; Equidae.